Molecule: ribosomal RNA, 553 nt
Filed under: Bacillus wiedmannii
Lineage: Bacteria; Bacillati; Bacillota; Bacilli; Caryophanales; Bacillaceae
Description: bacterial SSU rRNA
Rfam family: Bacterial small subunit ribosomal RNA
Source: RNAcentral
AGUUAGCGGCGGACGGGUGAGUAACACGUGGGUAACCUGCCCAUAAGACUGGGAUAACUCCGGGAAACCGGGGCUAAUACCGGAUAACAUUUUGAACUGCAUGGUUCGAAAUUGAAAGGCGGCUUCGGCUGUCACUUAUGGAUGGACCCGCGUCGCAUUAGCUAGUUGGUGAGGUAACGGCUCACCAAGGCAACGAUGCGUAGCCGACCUGAGAGGGUGAUCGGCCACACUGGGACUGAGACACGGCCCAGACUCCUACGGGAGGCAGCAGUAGGGAAUCUUCCGCAAUGGACGAAAGUCUGACGGAGCAACGCCGCGUGAGUGAUGAAGGCUUUCGGGUCGUAAAACUCUGUUGUUAGGGAAGAACAAGUGCUAGUUGAAUAAGCUGGCACCUUGACGGUACCUAACCAGAAAGCCACGGCUAACUACGUGCCAGCAGCCGCGGUAAUACGUAGGUGGCAAGCGUUAUCCGGAAUUAUUGGGCGUAAAGCGCGCGCAGGUGGUUUCUUAAGUCUGAUGUGAAAGCCCACGGCUCAACCGUGGAGGGUCAUUG